RNAcentral lists this ribosomal RNA (194 nucleotides) under uncultured bacterium. RNAcentral's name for it is "partial 16S ribosomal RNA". It matches the Rfam family "Bacterial small subunit ribosomal RNA", at positions 1307 to 1500 of the family's 1533-position model. The record is from RNAcentral.
GAAACUCGCCUACAUGAAGCUGGAGUUGCUAGUAAUCGCGAAUCAGCAUGUCGCGGUGAAUACGUUCCCGGGCCUUGUACACACCGCCCGUCACACCAUGGGAGCCGGAAACGCCCGAAGCCAGCGGCCCAACCGCAAGGGGGGAGCUGUCGAAGGCGGGUCCGGUGACCGGAGUGAAGUCGUAACAAGGUAGC